UCUUUCCCUCUCCCGGCUUGAGUGAAGAUGUGGAUCUGGAUAUACUGAAAGCUUAGGUCUGCGUUGUGAUGUCAGUCAGUGUCAUGGAAGACAUGCUCCUCAGAGUCACUUAGUGGACCUUCAGUCUACUAAAAAGUCCCUGGAGCAAGCCUGAAGAGGUAUGUGGCAUCCAACUUGUCCUUCAGAAGAACCAGUUAGAAGACCUUGGGUGACGUUCCUAUGUUGAGACACAUGAGGGCGCUCAAAGCAACUGACACUGUGGGGAUGUUUUCUAAAUUAAAAAAAAAAGAGAGAGAAAGAAGAAAGAAAAAGAAGAGAAGAAAAGGAAAAUAAAAAGCUGUGAACCUUGGCUCUGUUUGAUUGGC
Mastomys coucha (southern multimammate mouse) is the source of this 365-nucleotide long non-coding RNA. RefSeq lists it as uncharacterized. NCBI's taxonomy places the organism in Eukaryota, Metazoa, Chordata, Mammalia, Rodentia, Muridae. The transcript is spliced from 2 exons. The record is from RefSeq and is a predicted model, not a curated record.